UUUGACGUUACCUACAGAAGAAGCACCGGCUAACUCCGUGCCAGCAGCCGCGGUAAUACGGAGGGUGCGAGCGUUAAUCGGAAUUACUGGGCGUAAAGCGCAUGCAGGCGGCCUGUUAAGUCAGAUGUGAAAGACCCGGGGCGUUAACCUCGGAAUUGCAUUUGAAACUAGGCAGGCUAGAGUCUUGUAGAGGGGGGUAGGAAUUUCAGGUGUAGCGGUGAAAUAGCGUAGAGAUCUGAAGGAAUACCAGUGGCGAAGGCGGCCCCCUCGGACAAAGACUGACGCUCAGAUGCGAAAGCGUGGGGAGCAAACAGGAUUAGAUACCCCUGGUAG
RNAcentral lists this ribosomal RNA (333 nucleotides) under uncultured bacterium. RNAcentral's name for it is "bacterial SSU rRNA". It matches the Rfam family "Bacterial small subunit ribosomal RNA", at positions 468 to 793 of the family's 1533-position model. The record is from RNAcentral.